RNAcentral lists this ribosomal RNA (253 nucleotides) under uncultured bacterium. RNAcentral's name for it is "partial 16S ribosomal RNA". It matches the Rfam family "Bacterial small subunit ribosomal RNA", at positions 524 to 776 of the family's 1533-position model. The record is from RNAcentral.
UACGUAGGGGGCAAGCGUUGUCCGGAUUUAUUGGGCGUAAAGAGCGUGUAGGCGGCUUUACAGGUCCGUUGUGAAAACUCGAGGCUCAACCUCGAGACGCCGGUGGAAACCGUAAAGCUAGAGUCCGGAAGAGGAGAGUGGAAUUCCUGGUGUAGCGGUGAAAUGCGCAGAUAUCAGGAGGAACACCCGUGGCGAAAGCGGCUCUCUGGGACGGUACUGACGCUGAGACGCGAAAGUGUGGGGAUCAAACAGG